GCCCUCUGGGUCCACCUCCCACCCGUGUUUAUUUUACCUUGUUGCUUCGGCGGGCCCGCCUUAACUGGCCGCCGGGGGGCUUACGCCCCCGGGCCCGCGCCCGCCGAAGACACCCUCGAACUCUGUCUGAAGAUUGUAGUCUGAGUGAAAAUAUAAAUUAUUUAAAACUUUCAACAACGGAUCUCUUGGUUCCGGCAUCGAUGAAGAACGCAGCGAAAUGCGAUACGUAAUGUGAAUUGCAAAUUCAGUGAAUCAUCGAGUCUUUGAACGCACAUUGCGCCCCCUGGUAUUCCGGGGGGCAUGCCUGUCCGAGCGUCAUUGCUGCCCUCAAGCACGGCUUGUGUGUUGGGCCCCGUCCUCCGAUCCCGGGGGACGGGCCCGAAAGGCAGCGGCGGCACCGCGUCCGGUCCUCGAGCGUAUGGGGCUUUGUCACCCGCUCUGUAGGCCCGGCCGGCGCUUGCCGAUCAACCCAAAUUUUUAUCCAGGUUGACCUCGGAUCAGGUAGGGAUACCCGCUGAACUUAAGCAUAUCAAUAAGCGGAGGAA
This 545-nucleotide ribosomal RNA is filed under the name Penicillium sp. BMP2942. Its description in RNAcentral is "eukaryotic LSU rRNA". The stretch from base 166 to 318 matches the Rfam family "5.8S ribosomal RNA". Lineage: Eukaryota; Fungi; Ascomycota; Eurotiomycetes; Eurotiales; Aspergillaceae. The record is from RNAcentral.